UACGUAGGGCGCAAGCGUUGUCCGGAAUUAUUGGGCGUAAAGAGCUCGUAGGCGGUUUGUCGCGUCUGCCGUGAAAGUCCGGGGGCUCAACUCCGGAUCUGCGGUGGGUACGGGCAGACUAGAGUGAUGUAGGGGGAGACUGGAAUUCCUGGUGUAGCGGUGAAAUGCGCAGAUAUCAGGAGGAACACCGAUGGCGAAGGCAGGUCUCUGGGCAUUAACUGACGCUGAGGAGCGAAAGCAUGGGGAGCGAAUGGG
RNAcentral lists this ribosomal RNA (255 nucleotides) under uncultured bacterium. RNAcentral's name for it is "partial 16S ribosomal RNA". It matches the Rfam family "Bacterial small subunit ribosomal RNA", at positions 524 to 776 of the family's 1533-position model. The record is from RNAcentral.